RNAcentral lists this ribosomal RNA (522 nucleotides) under uncultured bacterium. RNAcentral's name for it is "bacterial SSU rRNA". It matches the Rfam family "Bacterial small subunit ribosomal RNA", at positions 8 to 525 of the family's 1533-position model. The record is from RNAcentral.
AGAGUUUGAUCCUGGCUCAGAUUGAACGCUGGCGGCAUGCUUUACACAUGCAAGUCGAACGGCAGCACGGGCUUCGGGAUGGCGGCGAGUGGCGAACGGGUGAGUAAUACAUCGGAACGUGCCCGAGAGUGGGGGAUAACGCAGCGAAAGCUGUGCUAAUACCGCAUACGAUCUCAGGAUGAAAGCAGGGGACCGCAAGGCCUUGCGCUCACGGAGCGGCCGAUGGCAGAUUAGGUAGUUGGUGGGAUAAAAGCUUACCAAGCCGACGAUCUGUAGCUGGUCUGAGAGGACGACCAGCCACACUGGGACUGAGACACGGCCCAGACUCCUACGGGAGGCAGCAGUGGGGAAUUUUGGACAAUGGGGGGAACCCUGAUCCAGCCAUGCCGCGUGCAGGAUGAAGGCCUUCGGGUUGUAAACUGCUUUUGUACGGAACGAAAAGGUCUUUUCUAAUAAAGAAGGCUGAUGACGGUACCGUAAGAAUAAGCACCGGCUAACUACGUGCCAGCAGCCGCGGUAAUA